This is a non-coding RNA of Rattus norvegicus (Norway rat), 69 nucleotides long. The record is from Rfam. NCBI's taxonomy places the organism in Eukaryota, Metazoa, Chordata, Mammalia, Rodentia, Muridae.
GGGGGUUUAGCUCAGUGGUAGAGCGCUUGCCUAGCAAGCGCAAGGCCCUGGGUUCGGUCCCCAGCUCCA